CAAAGACCUUGGAAAAUCUCCCUGCCUCCAGCAGCUCAUCCUUCCCUCUCUAACAUACUUACUCCUUGCAGGCUGUCCCAGCUCCUCAUAGCCAUCUGCCACCACUGGCAGGUGAGGAGCGAGGAAGAGGAGCCAAGCGGGGACAGGAGAAGAAGGUCACAGUGGGGGCGGCGGGGAAGAUGGCUGUGCUCUUCACAGAAUCACAGAAUUUUAAAGGUUGCAAGGGACCUCUGGAGAUCAUUUAGUCCAAGACUCCUGCUAACGAAGGUUCCUUAGAACAGAUUGCAGAGGAAAGCCUCCAGGGUCAGUGACUAUGGUAAGAAGAAAAUGAAGAAAAGAUGUGCAACUGCAUUCCUCCAUAUGAAAAAAAAUGGCACCCACUGACAUUCAUCAACAGUUGCUGAGCAUUUAUGGAGACCAAACUGGAUGUGAGCAAUGUGAGCAAUGACAGUGAG
RNAcentral lists this long non-coding RNA (455 nucleotides) under Gallus gallus (chicken). RNAcentral's name for it is "lncRNA (ENSGALG00010010676.1)". The record is from RNAcentral. Lineage: Eukaryota; Metazoa; Chordata; Aves; Galliformes; Phasianidae.